UUAAUAAUUCACAACAGUCAAAAUCAUUCUCAAAAACCUUUAUUUUCUGAGUCUGAGUUAUGUCGUAGCAGCAAAUGAACGAUAUAUAUCGAUGGCGCCGGUGCUUUCCUCUUUACGCGCGGAGUGCACGCCCGUUGGCCCUAAAAGCCGUCCGCAUCAGGAAUUCUCGGGGGCCAUUUUUCGAGGUCCUUCACCGCGCAACACACCUCGAGACACGACUACUGAAUAAUAUUUCAGCGAACGCUGGCAUACGUUAUCCUGAGAGCGGCGUCGCUUAUACUGCGCUCCGCCGCGCUUUUGCCGCAGCAAAAUAUUUGAUGACUACGACCUGGAUGCUGCGAAUUAUGUGCUAUAGUUACAGUCGAGACGGAGAGGAGACGGCGGGCUGGCGGAGGUAGAAAGUGGAAGACGUGCGGCGGCGAGGAACGAGGGUUAAUUUCCUAUACUGGACGUAUCCACCGGCAAAAGUGCCUGGGUUUUCCUUCCAAGUGUUUCCACCCCGUCGUCUCGCAUCAUCGCCACUGCAUCUUGCCCAUUCUUCUCGCUUCAUCGCCUCGCACGAACGCAUCGUUCAUCCCGAUCGCCUGCGAUUCCCUCUGGGGGUUUACGUAUGCCGGACGCAGUUCGGCACCGAUUCAUCAAAAGGACCUCCUACCCGUUUUUCGCCAUUUAAGAAAAGAGCCGCCGGUCUCUCCCCGGCAAAAAGGAAGACGGCGAUGUCGUUAGAGGCAGACUUGCCUUCAUGAACGGAAGGAUCGCGAAACGAUCGGGACGCGAAGGGAGAAGAUAUCCCCCAUCCCUUCUAAUAGAGGUGUGCUCGAGAGGGCAUCCGGAGAUUGGAGCUUGCCAGUGAGCCAACUAUCGUUUCCGCGCGUCUCAUCCUCGCCGUAUCUGCGACGACGACGACGACGACGACGACGACGACGACGACGACGACGAACGCUGCGGCCGAAUUGUCCGCAGAAAAUUGUCUGUCGGAUGUUAGAUGCCAGCAGCGGAAGUUUCUUAGUGGCCGUUACGAAGAAACGUAACAUAC
Molecule: long non-coding RNA, 1036 nt
Organism: Trachymyrmex septentrionalis
Lineage: Eukaryota; Metazoa; Arthropoda; Insecta; Hymenoptera; Formicidae
Exons: 3
Source: RefSeq, a predicted model, not a curated record